This 255-nucleotide unclassified non-coding RNA is filed under the name fungal sp. RNAcentral's name for it is "partial internal transcribed spacer region". The stretch from base 1 to 44 matches the Rfam family "Eukaryotic small subunit ribosomal RNA", at positions 1788 to 1831 of the family's 1831-position model. Lineage: Eukaryota; Fungi. The record is from RNAcentral.
GUCGUAACAAGGUUUCCGUAGGUGAACCUGCGGAAGGAUCAUUACCACACCAAAAAAAAUUCCACGUGAAAUUUCAAGUUAUUUGUUUUGUGUCUAGAAGCUUGCUUCUAGACUAAACGAAGGUAUGCAGUGUAAACUGUAUCACCGAUGUUCUAUUCAAACCCCUUUUAAUUUUUUAUACUGAUAUUUUAAACUGCAGUAAUGAAAAUUAUUGUUUUAAUAAAAUACAACUUUCAACAGUGGAUGUCUAGGCUC